UACGUAGGGUGCGAGCGUUGUCCGGAAUUAUUGGGCGUAAAGAGCUCGUAGGCGGCUUGUCACGUCGAUUGUGAAAGCCCGAGGCUUAACCUCGGGUCUGCAGUCGAUACGGGCUAGCUAGAGUGUGGUAGGGGAGAUCGGAAUUCCUGGUGUAGCGGUGAAAUGCGCAGAUAUCCGGAGGAACACCGGUGGCGAAGGCGGAUCUCUGGGCCAUUACUGACGCUGAGGAGCGAAAGCGUGGGGAGCGAACAGG
Molecule: ribosomal RNA, 253 nt
Filed under: uncultured bacterium
Lineage: Bacteria
Description: partial 16S ribosomal RNA
Rfam family: Bacterial small subunit ribosomal RNA
Source: RNAcentral